RNAcentral lists this long non-coding RNA (728 nucleotides) under Coturnix japonica (Japanese quail). RNAcentral describes it as "lncRNA (ENSCJPG00005008289.1)". Lineage: Eukaryota; Metazoa; Chordata; Aves; Galliformes; Phasianidae. The record is from RNAcentral.
GGGGCAUCUGUGGGGUUUGGGGACACCACUAUGGGGUGAGGGGACACUGCUAUGGGGUUUGGGGCCAUGGCUGUGGGGUGUGGGGACACUGCUAUGGGGUUUGGGGUUAUCUAUGGGGUUUGGGGCCAUGGCUAUGGGGUCUGGGGACACCGCUAUUGGGUUUGGGGUUAUCUAUGGGGUUUGGGGUCAUUGCUAUAGGGUUUGGGGACGCUGCUAUGGGGUCUGGGGGCAUCUGUGGGGUGUGGGGACACCACUAUGGGGUUUGGGGCCAUGGCUAUGGGGUCUGGGGACACCACUAUGGGGUUUGGGGACAUCACUAUGGGGUUUAGGGACACUGCUAUGGGGUUUGGAGACACCGCUAUGGGGUUUGGGGUCAUUGCUAUGGGGUUUGGGGUUAUCUCUGGGGUUUGGGGUUAUCUGUGGGGUUUGGGGCCAUGGCUGUGGGUCCCACUUAUGGGGCUCUGGUUGUGGGGUCCCAACCUGUGCCCCCACCCCACAGAGUCCCCGUGUUGGUGGCCGCGGUGCUGCUGCUGCUCCUGGCCAACGCUGAGGCCGAUGAGCCCAGUGGCCCCGCAAAGCUGGAGGCGUCCGGAGAGAGUGACCUCAGCACCUCAGGGCAGCGCGUGGCCACAGGUGUCACCGCCGUCAGCUUUGAGCCCCCGGAUCCGCCCGGUGGUGACUCUUCAUCUUCAUCUUCAUCAUCAUCAUCAUCGUCAGCCAUGGACGGG